AGGCCUACGGGGGGCAGCAGUGAGGAAUAUCGGUCAAUGGGCGCGAGCCUGAACCAGCCAAGUAGCGUGAAGGAUGACUGCCCUACGGGUUGUAAACUUCUUUUAUAAAGGAAUAAAGUGAGGCACGUGUGCCUUUUUGUAUGUACUUUAUGAAUAAGGAUCGGCUAACUCCGUGCCAGCAGCCGCGGUAAUACGGAGGAUCCGAGCGUUAUCCUGAUUUAUUGGGUUUAAAGGGUGCGUAGGCGGCGCUUCAGGUCAGCGGUGAAAUACCGGGGCUCAACCCCGGGGCUGCCGUUGAAACCGGG
RNAcentral lists this ribosomal RNA (305 nucleotides) under uncultured bacterium. RNAcentral describes it as "bacterial SSU rRNA". It matches the Rfam family "Bacterial small subunit ribosomal RNA", at positions 335 to 637 of the family's 1533-position model. The record is from RNAcentral.